RNAcentral lists this long non-coding RNA (223 nucleotides) under Elaeis guineensis (African oil palm). Its description in RNAcentral is "long non-coding RNA (EGUI_LNC028421)". Lineage: Eukaryota; Viridiplantae; Streptophyta; Magnoliopsida; Arecales; Arecaceae. The record is from RNAcentral.
UCAUAAUCUAACUGAUCCAGUGGCUAUGAAACCCAAAACCCAUCAAUGCAUAGUAGAGAAAAUUUUAAUAAAUACGGUCGCAGGCUUUCUCUAUAUCCAGCUUGAUGGCCAUCAGGCAACGUUAGCCCAGGACUUUCUACAAAUUAAACAUAAACUUAUGGGCAAUCAGAAUAUUAUUAGAGAUACUGCGACCACUAACAAAAGCCCCCUGCUCCAAACAGAU